Molecule: ribosomal RNA, 609 nt
Filed under: Triticum aestivum (bread wheat)
Lineage: Eukaryota; Viridiplantae; Streptophyta; Magnoliopsida; Poales; Poaceae
Description: partial small subunit ribosomal RNA
Source: RNAcentral
AUGCAGGGUCAUGCAGGCAAGAAAAAAUUGGGGGUCUACUCCUCCAAAACUGGAGUUUGGACACAUGGAGUUGUUUGGGACAAUCCACUUUCGGUAUCCCGUUUCCCAAGAAGCAUAUUUUUCAACAGGAUGCUGCAUUUUUCUUCAGAUAAUAAUUUGGUUGUAGCAAUUGAUGUGGAGGGAAAUCACAGGGUCAUUCGUGGCCCCAUGCCAGAUUCUGCUCGUGGUGUUCCUAAUGUUUAUCUAUCACGGGGACAAUUGCAUUUGGCAAAUGGGAGUGUUUCUGAACUCUCAAUCUGGGCUCUUGAAGAUUUUAGUAGUGAAAACUGGACCCUGAAGCACAGCGUUAGCCACUUACAACUGCUGGGAACAGAGUAUUCAAUGUUCGCGGGGAACUACAGAGUAAUCUCAAUCCACCCAGAACACAAUGUGAUAUUUAUUGUAUGUGAGCAGUUGUACAUGCUGAGUGGCCCAUCACUGACGAAACUAAUGUCAUAUGAAAUGGAUUCCAGGGAGCUGCGUUUUAUAUGUGAUCUUGAAUGGGGUUGCAGGACUCCUUAUCUUCCUUAUGUUCCCUUGCUCUCGGAGCCAUUGGCAGAUGGGCAAUAG